AUUGAACGCUGGCGGCAGGCCUAACACAUGCAAGUCGAGCGGAUGAAGGGAGCUUGCUCCUGGAUUCAGCGGCGGACGGGUGAGUAAUGCCUAGGAAUCUGCCUGGUAGUGGGGGAUAACGUCCGGAAACGGGCGCUAAUACCGCAUACGUCCUGAGGGAGAAAGUGGGGGAUAUUCGGACCUCACGCUAUCAGAUGAGCCUAGGUCGGAUUAGCUAGUUGGUGGGGUAAAGGCCUACCAAGGCGACGAUCCGUAACUGGUCUGAGAGGAUGAUCAGUCACACUGGAACUGAGACACGGUCCAGACUCCUACGGGAGGCAGCAGUGGGGAAUAUUGGACAAUGGGCGAAAGCCUGAUCCAGCCAUGCCGCGUGUGUGAAGAAGGUCUUCGGAUUGUAAAGCACUUUAAGUUGGGAGGAAGGGCAGUAAGUUAAUACCUUGCCGUUUUGACGUUACCAACAGAAUAAGCACCGGCUAACUUCGUG
RNAcentral lists this ribosomal RNA (484 nucleotides) under uncultured bacterium. RNAcentral's name for it is "partial 16S ribosomal RNA". It matches the Rfam family "Bacterial small subunit ribosomal RNA", at positions 30 to 507 of the family's 1533-position model. The record is from RNAcentral.